AGUAUUUUUACUGUAAAAAUAACAACAAAAUGCUAUUUAUCAUUAAUAAAUAAACGAAAAAUAAUCAAACAGAUAAAUAAGAAAAUAAAAUGAAUUCAGUCAAACAUUCAUAAAAAUAACAUUGAGUAAAUUUGGCAGUGAUGCUCAGAAACUUAAUUAAAACAAACUUUAUGUUUUAUUCGUUUUUGAAUUUUGACAAAUUUUAAUACUUUUUUUAAUGAUUAUUUCCAGAAACCCUUAAAAAGAAUGAACCUGGAGAACAUGUUCAGACAAAUAUUGAUCAGGUAUUGAUACACCGUAGAAACGAGGCUCCCCAACAACCUCAUUGCUGCUCAUUAAUGUCACUUAAAGAGAAACAACAUUUACUUUGAUGUAAUCCAUAAACUUUCGCUCAGCUUUCAUACGGCGUGAUGAACGCUUUGUUUUGAUGCUCAAACGGUGAGUUAAUCAUUGCCUCUUUGGGACGUCAGUUUCCCUCUCACACACACAAACAAGAGUAGACUUUGUAUUUCAGCUCAGGACCGCAUGCUGACCCCCCCCCGCACCCCAGCUGAUCCAGACUCUGCAGAAACCACGGAGCUCGCUCACUUCCGUCCCAGGAGGACGAGCGAUCGUUUCAAACACCUACGACUGAACGAAAAGGAAAUGGAUUUCAGCUCCUCCCUUCAAAAUCGAUUUUUCAGGAACCUGGACGCUGACGAGCGCAGAGAAGAUCCAGUCACAGACGCUGGAACGAGUGCAAACAUUAUUGGUGGAAGUAAAGAUGGAGGCGGGGUUUACCACAUUUCGUUCAAUCACAAAUGUUUGAUGCUUACGCUGAUCUUUGAGGUCUGAAGUUUCUGUGAUAAUGUGGACAUAAAAUUAUAGGUUUAGGUUUUUAAGACAUGAUCAAUUACAUCAGUUUAUUUUAUAAAAUAAUAGCUUUAUUCAUAUUAUGGUGCACCUGAAACUCCCAAUGCUCCUGUUAGAUGUUUCAUUUAUUAAAAAUUUAUUAAAUUUAACUUUUUUUUAUGAGCGAAGUCUUUAUUUAAUCUAUAAUACUAAUUUCACAGCAGAAAUUACAGUCAGUCUCAUAAAAACUAAACUUGAUCAGUUUAUACAUUUAGUUUUUUAAGUGAAUCUUUAUUUAGAUU
Molecule: long non-coding RNA, 1133 nt
Filed under: Oryzias javanicus (javanese ricefish)
Lineage: Eukaryota; Metazoa; Chordata; Actinopteri; Beloniformes; Adrianichthyidae
Description: lncRNA (ENSOJAG00000017879.1)
Source: RNAcentral